RNAcentral lists this ribosomal RNA (464 nucleotides) under uncultured Klebsiella sp. RNAcentral describes it as "bacterial SSU rRNA". It matches the Rfam family "Bacterial small subunit ribosomal RNA", at positions 338 to 795 of the family's 1533-position model. The record is from RNAcentral. Lineage: Bacteria; Pseudomonadati; Pseudomonadota; Gammaproteobacteria; Enterobacterales; Enterobacteriaceae.
CCUACGGGUGGCUGCAGUGGGGAAUAUUGCACAAUGGGCGCAAGCCUGAUGCAGCCAUGCCGCGUGUGUGAAGAAGGCCUUCGGGUUGUAAAGCACUUUCAGCGGGGAGGAAGGCGGUGAGGUUAAUAACCUCAUCGAUUGACGUUACCCGCAGAAGAAGCACCGGCUAACUCCGUGCCAGCAGCCGCGGUAAUACGGAGGGUGCAAGCGUUAAUCGGAAUUACUGGGCGUAAAGCGCACGCAGGCGGUCUGUCAAGUCGGAUGUGAAAUCCCCGGGCUCAACCUGGGAACUGCAUUCGAAACUGGCAGGCUAGAGUCUUGUAGAGGGGGGUAGAAUUCCAGGUGUAGCGGUGAAAUGCGUAGAGAUCUGGAGGAAUACCGGUGGCGAAGGCGGCCCCUGGACAAAGACUGACGCUCAGGUGCGAAAGCAUGGGGAGCAAACAGGAUUAGAUACCCUUGUAGUC